GAUGAACGCUGGCGGCGUGCCUAAUACAUGCGAGUCGAGCGAACAGACGAGGAGCUUGCUCCUCUGACGUUAGCGGCGGACGGUUGAGUAACACUUGGAUAACCUACCUAUAAGACUGGUAUAACUUCGGGAAACCGGAGCUAAUACCGGAUAAUAUCUUGAACCGCAUGUUUCAAUAGUGAAAGACGGUUUUGCUGUCACUUAUAGAUUGAUCCGCGCCGCAUUAGCUAGUUGGUAAGGUAACGGCUUACCAAGGCAACCAUGCGUAGCCGACCUGAGAGGGUGAUCGGCCACACUGGAACUGAGACACGGUCCAGACUCCUACGGGAGGCAGCAGUAGGGAAUCUUCCGCAAUGGGCGAAAGCCUGACGGAGCAACGCCGCGUGAGUGAUGAAGGUCUUCGGAUCGUAAAACUCUGUUAAUAGGGAAGAACAAAUGUGUAAGUAACUAUGCACGUCUUGACGGUACCUAAUCAGAAAGCCACGGCUAACUACGUG
This 497-nucleotide ribosomal RNA is filed under the name uncultured bacterium. Its description in RNAcentral is "partial 16S ribosomal RNA". It matches the Rfam family "Bacterial small subunit ribosomal RNA", at positions 28 to 507 of the family's 1533-position model. The record is from RNAcentral.